Molecule: non-coding RNA, 111 nt
Rfam family: SAM riboswitch aptamer (S box leader)
About the family: The SAM riboswitch is found upstream of a number of genes which code for proteins involved in methionine or cysteine biosynthesis in Gram-positive bacteria. The SAM riboswitch acts at the level of transcription termination control.
UUCUUAUCUAGAGAAGCAGAGGGACUGGCCCUAUGAAGCUUCAGCAACCACCGGAUUAUUUCUGGAAAGGUGCUAAUUCCAGCAAGUUGAAUUCAACUUGAACGAUAAGAA